GACGAACGCUGGCGGCGUGCCUAAUACAUGCAAGUAGAACGCUGAAGGAGGAGCUUGCUUCUCUGGAUGAGUUGCGAACGGGUGAGUAACGCGUAGGUAACCUGCCUGGUAGCGGGGGAUAACUAUUGGAAACGAUAGCUAAUACCGCAUAAGAGUAGAUGUUGCAUGACAUUUGCUUAAAAGUUGCAAUGGCAUCACUACAAGAUGACCUUGCUUUGUAUUAGCUAGUUGGUGAGGUAACGGCUCACCAAGGCGACGAUACAUAGCCGACCUGAGAGGGUGAUCGGCCACACUGGGACUGAGACACGGCCCAGACUCCUACGGGAGGCAGCAGUAGGGAAUCUUCGGCAAUGGACGGAAGUCUGACCGAGCAACGCCGCGUGAGUGAAGAAGGUUUUCGGAUCGUAAAGCUCUGUUGUAAGAGAAGAACGAGUGUGAGAGUGGAAAGUUCACACUGUGACGGUAUCUUACCAGAAAGGGACGGCUAACUACGUG
Molecule: ribosomal RNA, 495 nt
Filed under: uncultured bacterium
Lineage: Bacteria
Description: partial 16S ribosomal RNA
Rfam family: Bacterial small subunit ribosomal RNA
Source: RNAcentral